UAUAUACUCCCUCCGUCCGGAAAUACUUGUCAUCAAAAUGGAUAAAAGGGAUGUAUCUAGAUGUAUUUUAGUUUUAGAUACAUCCCUUAUUGUCCAUUUUGAUGACAAGUAUUUUCGGAAGGAGGGAGUAUAAU
This is a non-coding RNA of Triticum urartu, 134 nucleotides long. NCBI's taxonomy places the organism in Eukaryota, Viridiplantae, Streptophyta, Magnoliopsida, Poales, Poaceae. The record is from Rfam.